RNAcentral lists this microRNA precursor (96 nucleotides) under Nicotiana sylvestris (wood tobacco). Its description in RNAcentral is "MIR6152 microRNA precursor family". It matches the Rfam family "MIR6152 microRNA precursor family". The record is from Rfam by way of RNAcentral. Lineage: Eukaryota; Viridiplantae; Streptophyta; Magnoliopsida; Solanales; Solanaceae. RNAcentral also lists the same sequence under 1 other name.
UAGAUAGAUUAUUGUAUUCGACUGUAUUCACGGCGUGAAACAGGGGAUUACACUAUUUUUAAACGAAAAGUGAAUCAAUUAACAUAAUAGACUCCU